AGCAGUCGCCGCGGGAAUACGAAGGGGGCUAGCGUUGUUCGGAUUUACUGUGCGUAAAGCGCACGUAGGCGGACUUUUAAGUCAGGGGUGAAAUCCCGGGGCUCAACCCCGGAACUGCCUUUGAUACUGGAAGUCUUGAGUAUGGUAGAGGUGAGUGGAAUUCCGAGUGUAGAGGUGAAAUUCGUAGAUAUUCGGAGGAACACCAGUGGCGAAGGCGGCUCACUGGACCAUUACUGACGCUGAGGUGCGAAAGCGUGGGGAGCAAACAGGAUUAGAUACCCCCGUAGUCCCUGUCUCUUAUAC
RNAcentral lists this ribosomal RNA (303 nucleotides) under uncultured bacterium. Its description in RNAcentral is "partial 16S ribosomal RNA". It matches the Rfam family "Bacterial small subunit ribosomal RNA", at positions 507 to 807 of the family's 1533-position model. The record is from RNAcentral.